CCCUUAGAUGUUCUGGGCCGCACGCGUGCUACACUGAGUAAAUCAAUGGGUAAGGGAACACGAAAGUGCAACCUAAUCUUGAAAUUUGCUCGUGAUGGGGAUCGACGGUUACAAUUUUCCGUCGUGAACGAGGAAUACCUUGUAGGCGCGUGUCAUCAUCACGCGCCGAAUACGUCCCUGCCCUUUGUACACACCGCCCGUCGCUCCUACCGAUUGAGUGAUCCGGUGAGGCUCUGGGACCUGGACGGAAAGAGCGUUUCGCUUGUUCUGUUUGGGAAACUUGGUCGAACCUUAUCAUUUAGAGGAAGGAGAAGUCGUAACA
Molecule: ribosomal RNA, 322 nt
Filed under: uncultured eukaryote
Lineage: Eukaryota
Description: partial 18S ribosomal RNA
Rfam family: Eukaryotic small subunit ribosomal RNA
Source: RNAcentral